This 2216-nucleotide ribosomal RNA is filed under the name Ceratiomyxa morchella. RNAcentral's name for it is "partial 18S ribosomal RNA". It matches the Rfam family "Eukaryotic small subunit ribosomal RNA". The record is from RNAcentral. Lineage: Eukaryota; Evosea; Eumycetozoa; Ceratiomyxaceae.
UGCAUGUGUUAGCAUAAAGCGGCUUCGGCCCUCAGGCUGUGGAUGGCUCAUUAUAUCAGUUAUAAUCCACUCUCAAAUAAACGCUUUCAGGUUCUGAAGACGUACAUGGAUAACUGCUGUAACACGGGAGCUAAUACAUAAACAAACCGAUCCAAAUUCGCCCGAACACGGAUCGCGUUCGCUUAAAACAAGCCCCCUACAAACAAAAGCGGAAUCCGAGGUAAUUUUUUACCUCGGACGCGAUUGUAGUGAAUGCAGUUGAUCGCAUGAAUUCUUCGGAGCUCGGCGCGUCUUGAGAUCGGGUUUCUGCCCUAUCAGCUCGUUGCAUGGGUAUUGUCCAUGCCAGGCUUUUACGGGUACGGGGAAUCAGGGUUCGAUUCCGGAGAGGGAGCCUGAGAAAUAGCUACCACCCCUAAGGGGGGCAGCAGGCACGAAAAUUACCCAAUGCUAACACAGCGAGGUAGUCACGGGAAAUACUGAUACUGCCGUUUUCAUAACGGUAGUAAUCGGAAUGUGAACAUUUUAAACCACUUAACUAGGAUCAAUUAGAGGACAAGUCUGGUGCCAGCACCCGCGGUAAUUCCAGCUCUAAUAACGUUCACUAAAUUUGCUGCAGUUAAAACGCUCGUAGUCGACUCCCGGUCGACCGUGUUUAAAAAUGGUACGUCAUAUUGCAUCCGGAAAGCCGCGAGGGGUGAAAGCUCCUUUUUAAGCUGACCGUUCGAGCGUGGCGUGCCGGCAUGGAAGGCAUUUUACUUUUGUACGCAUACGCCCGCAGGCUCGUUUCGACGGGUCUGCGGUAUUGAGCGUCCUAUUUUACCGUAAGCAAAAUAGAGCGCUCAAGGCAGGCUAGAAUACCGGGCUCGCUCGGUAGCUAACCUCGUUCCGUCAAUUUUUGGCGGGGCGGCGUGCAUACAUUAGUACGGGACAACUCAAUCGGCCUCACCUCUUCGGGGGGCUUGUUGGGCUACUCUUGGAUCGGGCUUAGCUUCCGUUAGCGGUCGCGGCUUGUUCAAGGGCAAGUUGAAAUAGGAGCGGUUGGGGACAUACGUAUUAUCGGGCUAGAGGUGAAAUUCUUGGACCCCGAUAAGACGACCUGAUGCGAAAGCGUUUGUCAAAAACGUUUUCUUUGAUAAAGAACGAAAGUUUAGGGAGCGAAGAUGAUCAGAUACCGUCGUAGUCUAGACUGUAAAAACUACCGACGGGUUAUUGGCGUGCGUCCAAUAUGGUACGACCCCGCCAGAAACCUUCAUUCUUAAAAAUGGAAACUAGAGUGAUGGGUUCUGGGGGGAGUAUGGUCGCAAGACUGAAACUUAAAGGAAUUGACGGAAAAAUACACCAGGAGUGGAGCUUGCGGUUUAAUUUGACUCAACACGGGAAAACUUACGAGGUCCAGAUAAACAAUGGAUUGACAGACCGAAAGAUCUUUCUUGAUCGUUUAAAUGGUGGUGCAUGGCCGUUCUUAGUUGGUGGAGUGAUUUGUCUACUUAAUUGUGCUAACGAACGAGACUUUGCUCUGCUAAGUAGCACGGGUAAACUAUGUUGGAAUUUUUGACCGGUGCUGUCGCUGCCGGGAAGGUUUUCGGCUCCGAGGCUUUUUUCCCGUUUUCGGACGAGGGGGAAAGUACAGGGCUUGAAGAACCGGCCCUAAAAUUUAUAAAGGCAGCGCUCCCCAGGUCAUUAAACAAAGGGGGGUCGCGGCACGGGUCGGGGGAAGGGAUCGUAACCCGGUCCCAGAACCCGGCUCAAUAAAGUGAAAACAUAACCCGGGGGUGGUUUAAAGGGUUUUAAGCCCCGCUUCUUAGAGAGACUACCGGCCUCAAGCCGGGGGAAGAUCAAGGCAAUAACAGGUCUGUGAUGCCCUUCGAUGUUCUCGGCCACACGCGCGCUACAAUGAACGUUGUAACGAGCCCAAGCCGCUCCGAGAUCGAUAUUUUUAUCGAUCUGAGAGCGGUGGAACCAAGGCUGAAAAGCUGAGGUAAUCUUUAACCGCGUUCGUGAUUGGGAUAAUCGAUUGUAAUUAUCCGAUUUGAACGAGGAAUUCCUAGUAAGUGCGAUUCACUACAUCGCGCUGACUACGUCCCUAUUUUUUGUACACACCGCCCGUCGCUCCUACCGAUCGAACACGGGGGUGAAGCCAGUCGGGUUGUCUCGCUCCGCAGGCUCGGUUGAAAAACUUGGCAGCGGGUCGAAAAGACGGCUUUGGCUGUUCAGCC